GGGACGGAUCGAUCCGCUGUUUCUUUCAUCGACACCCAACGCAUAUCCUGCUCCAUUCAGGAGGGCAUCUCACCCAACGCACAUCGCCGCCGCCGCCAUCCUCCGACGGAGCUCGCCGCCGGCCAUGGUCUCCACUACCUUCUCCUCCUCCCGUCCCGUCAUCAGAAGAGAGGAGGGAGGGAGUUCCACCGCGACCGCGAACCAGCAGUCUUCUCUUCCUCCUUCGCUGUUGCAGCGGCCGGCCGGUGGAUCAGCUAAGCGAGCUAGCGAAGCGAAGCAAGGCCCGACGGAUGGUGCCGCCUCGCGGUCGUCUGGCCCUCCUCCUCCUUCUCGCGCUGUCGGCGGCGCUCGCCCCCGGCCGCGCGGCCGCCACCGGCGUCUUCGAGGUGCGUCGCAAGUUCCCGUGCCACGACGGGAGCGGCAAGCACCUGGCGAACCUCCGGGCGCAUGACGCUCGCCGCCACGGCCGCUCCCUUGCCGCCGCCGUCGACCUGCCCCUCGGCGGCAAUGCCCUCCCCUACGAGACCGGGCUCUACUUCACGCAGAUUGGGAUUGGCACACCGGCCAAGAGCUACUACGUGCAGGUGGACACCAGCAGCGAUAUAUUCUGGGUCAACUGCGUCUUCUGCGACACCUGCCCCCGCAAGAGCGGCCUCGGGGUACUCCCAUCUCUUCCGUUUCCCCUGCAAUUGCUCUGCUCUGCGGAUUUGAUCCACCGUGGCCGCGGGGGAGGACAUAGUGCAGCACCUCUCGUCCAACUCCAACCCGUCCUCGUCCAAGCUCGCCAAGAUCGAGGCGCGCAUGGCCGGCAAGGCCGUCUGGGUGCCGCCCCCGUCGCCACCGCACCACCCAGACUACCAAAUAAAGUCACCCAGUGGUUUGGGCUCCAUAUCGGUGUCAGUUUCUGGGAGGCGGUGAACUUGACAAAUAUGCAUCCAUCAAGCACCAUAUGGAAGGAAGUGCUCACCGUUGCUCAAGGCGACUCCAUGUCAGUCUGUGUGAUAAACUUCGGUACACGGACUCCGUUCGUGUCUUCAUUGGAGCUGAGGCCACUGCAAGAUGCGAUGUACCCUUUUGUGAAUUCGUCGAUGUCAAUCAGCUACUUCAGACGAAUACGAUUUGGUACUGCCACUGAAUAUAUCACAAGAUAUCCAUUGGACCCUUAUGACCGGUUCUGGGAGGGCUGGUCUUUCUCCUACAACACCUACCCCUGGAUGACCCUAAACACUAGCACUCAAGUGAGGAGGGUACCCGGCGACAACACCUUCCAGGUACCAGAGGGCAUCCUCCAGGGGGCCACAACAUUAGACACAAACUACUCCUUUUUCGAGAUCAACGUAGCGGCGGGUCCCAACCUGGACGCCAAGAACCUACAGCUUCUCCCGAUCUUCCACUUUGCCGAGAUCAACAUCAGCAACCAGAACAGGAGGUUCGACAUCUACAGCGACAACGACUUGCUAUUUCCAGACUUCUCGCCGUCACGAUUCCAGGCGGACAGCAUGCACCAAAACGGGCGGUUGUUGCACAACCCUGCUGGGAUCUUCCUCCUGAACAAGACACGCAGCCCAAGGCUCCCGCCGCUCAUCAAUGCGUUUGAGGUGUACUCGCCAGUGCGGAUGGAUAACCUCACCACUGACGCCGAGGAUGCCCAUUAUAUGAACGAAGUCAAGAAGCACUACAAUUUGGCACGAAUAAACUGGAAUGGAGAUCCAUGCUCCCCAAGAGAGUAUUCCUGGGAAGGUUUGACUUGCGACUACUCCAAGAGGAACCAGAAUCCAAGGAUUGUUGCAGUAGAUUUAUCUACCAGUGGACUGAAAGGUGGAUUGGUCAUAGCCUUCAUGAACAUGGUAUCAUUGGAAAACUUGUUGCCACGCGGAUGCCAUGAAGGCAUUUGUUUUAGUGCCAAAUAUUACGUACUAAUGCCUGCAAAGUAUCGUUGUGUAUUAUAUUUGCUAUGGAGCUAUGUAUGUAUGGAUGCUAUGGAACUAUAUGUAUAUAUGGAUGCUAUGGAAUUUUGGAUGUAUGUAUGCUAUGGAAUUUUGAUAUAUGGAUCAUGAAAUUUGUUAUGCAAUUUGC
RNA transcript from Hordeum vulgare subsp. vulgare (domesticated barley), 2076 nucleotides. RefSeq lists it as uncharacterized. The record is from RefSeq and is a predicted model, not a curated record. NCBI's taxonomy places the organism in Eukaryota, Viridiplantae, Streptophyta, Magnoliopsida, Poales, Poaceae. The transcript is spliced from 7 exons.